GAAAAAUUAGAUGAGCAUUCAAGACAGAUGUUUGUAAUAUUCGAAGAUCAUCCGAAUAAUGAUUUCAGUAGUCUCUUCAACACUAUAAAUUGUAAGUUGGUAUAUAAAUUACUUAAAACACUUACAUUGUUAUCUCAUAUAUACAAACUCACUUACUUUGAAAGUUUAGCUAACCCGUAAAAUGUUAUUACAAAAUGGAUAAUACAAACUCAUUAUACGGUGAUGUUGUUUGUAGAACCCGUAAAUUUAGAUACAUUUAUAGUUCACUCGUUUAUACUUUUUAGUAUAUUCGUUAUCGGCAUUGUAAAGAAACUCAUCAAAUAUUCUAGGCUUUAAAUUUUGAUCGACAGACUCGCGCUUAGUCUACAAAAUAUUCACUAUUGAUGCUCCAAUCAAAAAGGUUUAAAAUGUUAAAUAUCGAACGUAGUUAAAGAGCAUUGUGGACAAAAUAUGGUUGAAUACUGUCUUUUUUUAAUGAUUAAAAAAAAUGGAUAUAAAUUAUGAUCAGUUACUGUUGACUUAAAAUCAUAAAAUCUGUCCCUGUUAAUAUUUACACAUAUUACAUUGUAUGCUUUUCUCUUACUUUUUAUAAUUUGUUGGUUGCCUAACGUCCAAAUGCAAACAAUUUAUGCAUAUAUAGGAUGAACAUAAUUUACCAAUUAAUACAAUAUGUAGGUUCUGGAAGAGAGGCGUCCGGUAUCAAGGUGGCAGAAAUUUAGACUGCCACGAGAUAUGAGGGUAAAUUGGAUAGGUACAGAAAUUUAGCCUUGUAACAUAUCACCUACGGAGUUGUUGCAAGGACUCUUAACGUGCAAAGAGUGUGGCAUUACUCUUCGUGGAGUUAACCCUACAUCCGUUUGAUUAUAAUAAAGAUAUUGAACAAUCCUUAAACUUCAAAAAGCGGGGUAUUGGGUUUAACUCUAUGAUUUUUAUGUUUUUCGACGCUAUCACUCAAACAUAAGUAUUUUGUCAAAAUUUAACACCAUAAGGUAAAGGGAAAAACCACAAUAUUUAUUUUCAGUAUAAUUAUGCAUGUUUCUUUCCUAAAUCAGGAGCUAGCAAUUCAGUGGUUGUCGUUUGUUGCUGUGUAACAUAUUCCUUGUCUUCAUUUUUUUUUAUACAUACAUAUACAUAUACAUAUAUAUAUAUAUAUAUAUAUAUAUAUAUAUAUAUAUAUAUAUAUAUAUAUAUAUAUGGGUUUAAUCCGUAACAGUGUAUAGUACAUUUGUAGUAAAACACACUAUAAAUAUUUUCGACAUGUGAAACUAUUGUCAGCAAUCUUCAUGUCAUAUCUGCUACUUAAUAUUAGGCCUACAUUUAUUCAGGGGGGAACAUAAGAGGCUUAUAAUGUAAAGUGGCUUUUUAAAAUCUUAUGUGACGUUUAUUGGGACACUGUUGAAAGCUGGUUGAUUAACAAUUUAAAAUAUAUAUAUUAUAUAGAUAUAUAUACUGACAAUCUAUGUACACCACUCAUUGUGAGCAGAUGCAGGUGCAACAAUCGAAAAGUGCUCAAAGUAUAAAGCUCGGUGUUGAAGGCAGCACGGUGACCUGUUGUUGUUACCUCUAUGUCAUUUGGUCUGUGGUAGAGGGUUGUCUUAUUAGCUAUCAUACCUCAUCUUUAAUCUGACUUUAUCACUGAAUCACUGAUAACUUGAUAUCGAAUUGUCAAUACUUUUGUGGGAUUAAAUGAUGAAAAGUUUACCGAGAACAAUAAUGCAAAAGUGCCGAAUGUAAUACUUGUAUAUACUUAAAACCCGCCAAAGAAAUAUGAUCUGGUGUUUAAAACUACGAAUUAAAUUACAGAAGGCUUAAAGCAAAGGCUAUUACUUCGGAUCGCUCUACUUGUUGGACAAACUCAAUCAAUAUUUUUGCUGAUUGUUGAUAUUUAAACUGUUACUUAUACAUUUGAAUCAUUGACUUAGUGACAUUGGUUAUACUUGUAAAGAUUUCUGCUUAAGUGGUUCUGUUUAGAAGUGUUAACUAUAUAUAGUUACUAGUACCUUUAAUAUUUUUGUUACUGCACAUUGUAUACUAUUUUAAUGAAUGCGAAUGAGAUAUAACAAGAAAAACAGUGUUCGGGAAGAUAACUCUUACACAGAAAAGUGAUCGAUGAAACAUAGAUUGAUCUCUAAUUGUAAAACGGUGAAAUAUAAUGGCAGCAAUCUGCAUUUAUUUGAUAUAAAAUAUUGCAAAAGUGGGGGAGGGGGAGGGAGGGGGGAAGGGGUGAAAAUGUCACAAAAGUCCCAAAUGUUGGUACAAACCAGAAUUUCAAUCCAUUAUAGUGAUACAUUUUCUGCAACCAUUGACAUUUAUCUAUCAUAUGCAUUUCGAUUAUUUUUUGCAUAGAUUGAAAUGAAAAGUUCGAGGGUCAAAUGUUGGAAAACACUUAUUUCUAGACAUAUGGGUGGUACGGAUGUAAAACACGGUCGGCCAAAAAGAAAAAUGACAUUUAAAACAUGCAAAAAACACUCUUGAUGCUCGUACAUUUGUAUCAACCAUCUUUGAAGGCUAUAUUAUUCUUCGGCUGUCCCAUGUCAUUAGAUUGUUCUUCCAGCAUAUAAAUACGUCCAUGCUCCUUCAGAUUUCUUUUUAAGUUUGCUUUUAUUGUGAUUUUUUACAAAUGUUUGUAUUCCUAUUGAGAACAUACCAUUGUGAUAGAAAACAAUAUUAUCUGAACUUAUAUUGUCAUGGUGAAUUUCAACAAAACAUUGGCAUAUCAUAAAUCAACUCCCAUUGCAUCAGUUACAGAAGUGCAAGAACAAAGUCACAAUUGAAACAGAUGCAAAUUACUAUUUCAAGUUGAUAGAUAUUUUUUUCACUUUCCAGGCAAGCAUAAUCAACAUAAUAUGUACCAAGCUGUGUGUUCAAAGGAUAUGUAUAAACAAUGUUUACCGUCAAAUUUUAUACAUUUGAUAUUUUCAACCUUUGGAUACCAUUGGUUGUCAGAAAGGUAAGCCGUAUCUUAUCUGUUCAUUUAAACAACAUGCUUGAUCUUUGAAGGAUUGUGUGAUUAACUAUAAUAAAUGUAUCUGCUUCUGUUUAUAAAAGGAGUAGGUCCGGUAAGGGCCGAUUUCGGCCUCAAUUUUCAAGUUCAUAUAACGAAAGAUUGUAGCCACUUUCUAAACACUUAAGUGUCUAUUUCAUUGAUUCAUUAGUUAAUGGGGAAGAUUUUAACUUAAUAAAGUCAUUUAAAACGCCCCGAUUCAAGCUUAGAGGCUCGAGGGUAUAAAAAUUUCAGAAAAAAAUCAAACAUUUGUUUUUCAUUACAAAUUUUAUUAUUUCUUUGUGUUUACUUAAUAGUACAUAAUCAUUCAAAAUCAAUUCGUGUGGCCCCAGAUGAUUCAAAAUGUAUCAUCAUUGAAAAGUCCAAUUAUCUCCCUUUGUGAAAUGCCAUUUUUUGGCUCUAAAUUGAAAUAUCUUUUCAACUAUCGGAGACUAUCUUUAAUAUAAUUUCAUAUGUUACUAAAACUAAUAUGUAAAAUUUAGCGAUUUCGUAAUAAAUUUCUUUUUUUUUUUAUUUCGAUAUUACUUAUUCUCCUAUUUUCAACAGUAAAAAAAACACUUUACAAAAAUGUAUGCUUCUUUCGAAGCGGUUGUGAGCGCAAAUAACGGUGACCACUUUAUUUUAUUUCUAUUAACAUAAGAUAAAGUUCAUUUAUAGAAAAAUAUAGAGAAAUCCUAUAUAAAUGAUUUAGACCCGCGAACCCCCUUAAAUAUGAAAAAUCGUUCUAUCAAAUAUGCCCAAAAUCGUCACUUUUCAGAUGUUUUUGUCACAAUUAAAAGUGGCCGCAUCCGUGUUCAUCCUCAACCUUUAUAUAUAUUAUGUAUUAUCAUCAAAUACAACUUACAUUUCAAUAUCAUGAAUGAACACGAAUGCGGCCACUUUCAUUUCAGACGGAAACCGUUUAAAAUUUAACUAAAAUGCUACAAUUGUGAAGAUUUCAGUAAUUUAGCAUGACUUAAUGAUGCUAGUACCCGAUAUAUGUGCAUUGUUUUGUCAAAAACAGCCCAUAUUUAUGUAGCAGAAGCAUUCUAAUUUGCAAUAAAUAUCUAAACGAUUACAUUUUCACAAUUUUCUAAAACUGCUAUAUUUUGAGGCCAAAAAGGGGUCUUACUGAACCUACUCCUUUCCACUUUAUUGCUUUCCAUCAUGGUGGUACGAAGCCAUUAGUGUUAAAAAAAUAUUCUCGCCAUCCUGAUAUCAAUACGCAACAAAUAUCAGUUAUUGGUUGCCUCAUGGUGUUUGAAAGAUUCUAUUGACUAGAAUGAGAUGAAGAAUUGAGAACAUGACCAUACUGGAGUAACUAUUAAAUUCAGACAAAAUUCUAGUCAGAACAAUUUCCUGAGUGCUUAUUUGACUUGAUAUACAAAUGCACCAUACAAAAAUGCAUAUUACUGCCAACAAUCUUUAAGAAUUCUGUCAGAAUGAGAAUAGAUGUAUUCCAUGUUAUAAAACGAAAUGAUAUAGAUAGAAAAAAAUAGAUACGCCAAGACAAUGGUACCCCGAAUUGUACAUUAGACAGGUUAUAUAAAUUGUUGUUCGAAUGAUAUGUGAUGUUUAGGAGGCUUUGUAGGAAAACACGCAUGAGGAUAUCCAUAUGCAAAUAAAUAUUGCAUGAAAAAUAAAGACGGGCUUAAAAUACAAAGUUUGCACUAAGGAGAUAAAUAAAAAUUUUCACAUACUAAAAAAGCCACAUUUAACUUACAAUUGUGAAUCAGAGAAGCAUCCAAAAGCUUUUAAGAAAGCUAACAUGUGAAGUUAAUUUUUUUUUGUAAAUUCCAAAUUAAAAAAAAACUGAACACAAAACUAAAUAUUUUGCUUCUUCUGAACAGACCUUGCAAUAUAGAAAAUGGAAUGUUCAUACACGAUGCUAACGAGAGCGAACAGAAAGAAUUUGCUCAACAAGCCGAGAAGGACUGGGAAACAUUCCUACUCCAACGAGGAAAAGAAUUAAAACGUG
RNAcentral lists this long non-coding RNA (4961 nucleotides) under Mytilus galloprovincialis (Mediterranean mussel). The record is from RNAcentral. Lineage: Eukaryota; Metazoa; Mollusca; Bivalvia; Mytilida; Mytilidae.